CUUGGAAUCAGAAGUCUGGGGUUUGAGCCCUCUCUCUGCUGCUUGGGAGUUGUAUGACUUUUGGGAAGUAAUUUUUCCUCAUCUGAACUUGUAAGAUAAUGAAAUGAAUCUAAAUAAUCUCUAAAAUUUCUUCCGGCUCUGACAUUCUGUGAUUCUUUAACUGCGUGGGCAGGAGGCUGUGGGGAAGGGUGAUGACGGAGAGCCUCUGAUCUGCAGUAUGGAAAGUUAAAGGGGACUUCUGGGCAAACAUGGCUGCAGUUUAGAUGCAGGAAUCUACCUCUCCUCAGCCCCAAAACCUGAAUUCAUAUGAACAAAGGGACUCCACAGUUGGGCACAGCAUUGAAGUAAAAAAUGAUGAACAGGUUAAUUUUGGAAAUAUGGAAUGACCUACAUGAAAUUAUGAAGAAUGAAACAAACAGAUUACCAAGAUAACAUUUUAUAUAGCAACAGAAAUAUCACUUUCCAGAGGAAGAACUGAUAAACAGAAAUAAAUAAGACAUAGUUUUAUAUACA
RNAcentral lists this long non-coding RNA (513 nucleotides) under Monodelphis domestica (gray short-tailed opossum). RNAcentral describes it as "lncRNA (ENSMODG00000033342.2)". The record is from RNAcentral. Lineage: Eukaryota; Metazoa; Chordata; Mammalia; Didelphimorphia; Didelphidae.